RNAcentral lists this ribosomal RNA (1416 nucleotides) under uncultured bacterium. RNAcentral describes it as "bacterial LSU rRNA". It matches the Rfam family "Bacterial large subunit ribosomal RNA", at positions 665 to 2108 of the family's 2925-position model. The record is from RNAcentral.
GCCGUAGGGAAACCAAGUCUUAAGAGGGCCUUAAGUCAGUAGGAGUAGACCCGAAACCGGGUGAUCUAUCCAUGUCCAGGUUGAAGCUGCCGUAAGAGGUAGUGGAGGACCGAACCCACAUCCGUUGAAAAGGGUGGGGAUGAGGUGUGGAUAGGGGAGAAAUUCCAAUCGAACCCGGAGAUAGCUGGUUCUCCUCGAAAUAGCUUUAGGGCUAGCCUCGAUACAGAUUUGCGGAGGUAGAGCACUGAAUUUCCUAGGGGGCGUCAAAGCCUACCGAAGAAUAUCAAACUCCGAAUGCCGCGUAAUCGAUUAUCGGGAGUCAGACUGCACGAGAUAAGUUGGGCGGUCAAAAGGGAAAGAGCCCAGACCUUCAGUUAAGGUCCCCAAGUGCGCGUUAAGUGGAAAAGGAUGUGGGAUUUCGAAGACAACCAGGAUGUUGGCUCAGAAGCAGCCAUCCAUUCAAAGAGUGCGUAAUAGCUCACUGGUCGAGAGGUCCUGCGCCGAAAAUGUCCGGGGCUGAAACGCGCCACCGAAACUAAGGAACCGAAAGGUUGGUAGAGGAGCAUUGCAUGCGGGAAGAAGCAGUACCGUAAGGAGCUGUGGACUGCAUGGAAGAGAGAAUGCCGGAAUGAGUAGCGAGAAUAAGGUGGGAAUCCUUAUGGCCGAAUAUCCAAGGUUUCCAGAGUAAAGCUGAUCUGCUCUGGGUAAGUCGGGGCCUAAGGCGAGGACGAGAGUCGUAGCCGAUGGACAACAGGUGGAGAUUCCUGUACUGCGGUAUGACAGAACUGUGGGGACACGUAAGGAAAGCGGAAGCCGGGGAUGGAUUGUCCCGGUGCAAGCGGGGUACCAGUCACUUUGGCAAAUCCGGGUGGCAAUGGGAAGCCGUGAUGCGGAGUGAAAUAAAGUAACGAAGUCCGUGAGCCAUGCGUCAAGAAAAGCCGCUAUCGUUUAUACCGUACCCGUACCGUAAACCGACACAGGUGGAUGAGGAGAGAAUCCUAAGGCCGGCGGAAGAAGCAUUGUCAAGGAACUCGGCAAAAUGGCCCCGUAACUUAGGGAUAAGGGGUGCCUGGGAAACCAGGCCGCAGAGAAUAGGCUCAAGCAACUGUUUAGCAAAAACACAGGUCUAUGCGAAACCGAAAGGUGAGGUAUAUGGGCUGACGCCUGCCCGGUGCUGGAAGGUUAAGAGGAGAGGUUAGCGGUAACGCGAAGCUUUGAAUUUAAGCCCCAGUAAACGGCGGCCGUAACUAUAACGGUCCUAAGGUAGCGAAAUUCCUUGUCGGGUAAGUUCCGACCCGCACGAAAGGCGUAAUGAUUUGAGCGCUGUCUCGACAAUGCAUCCGGUGAAAUUGAAGUACCAGUGAAGAUGCUGGUUACCUGCGCCAGGACGGAAAGACCCCAUGGAGCUUUACUCCA